GAUUCGUCACACUAUCAUUAACUGAAUCCAUAGGUUAAUGAGGCGAACCGGGGGAACUGAAACAUCUAAGUACCCCGAGGAAAAGAAAUCAACCGAGAUUCCCCCAGUAGCGGCGAGCGAACGGGGAGGAGCCCAGAGCCUGAAUCAGCAUGUGUGUUAGUGGAAGCGUCUGGAAAGGCGCGCGAUACAGGGUGACAGCCCCGUACACAAAAGCGCAUGUGCUGUGAGCUCGAUGAGUAGGGCGGGACACGUGGUAUCCUGUCUGAAUAUGGGGGGACCAUCCUCCAAGGCUAAAUACUCCUGACUGACCGAUAGUGAACCAGUACCGUGAGGGAAAGGCGAAAAGAACCCCGGCGAGGGGAGUGAAAAAGAACCUGAAACCGUGUACGUACAAGCAGUGGGAGCACCCUUCGGGGUGUGACUGCGUACCUUUUGUAUAAUGGGUCAGCGACUUAUAUUCUGUAGCAAGGUUAACCGUAUAGGGGAGCCGGAGGGAAACCGAGUCUUAAUUGGGCGUUAAGUUGCAGGGUAUAGACCCGAAACCCGGUGAUCUAGCCAUGGGCAGGUUGAAGGUUGGGUAACACUAACUGGAGGACCGAACCGACUAAUGUUGAAAAAUUAGCGGAUGACCUGUGGCUGGGGGUGAAAGGCCAAUCAAACCGGGAGAUAGCUGGUUCUCCCCGAAAGCUAUUUAGGUAGCGCCUCGUGAAUUCAUCUCCGGGGGUAGAGCACUGUUUCGGCUAGGGGGCCAUCCCGGCUUACCAACCCGAUGCAAACUGCGAAUACCGGAGAAUGUUAUCACGGGAGACACACGGCGGGUGCUAACGUCCGUCGUGAAGAGGGAAACAACCCAGACCGCCAGCUAAGGUCCCAAAGUCAUGGUUAAGUGGGAAACGAUGUGGGAAGGCCCAGACAGCCAGGAUGUUGGCUUAGAAGCAGCCAUCAUUUAAAGAAAGCGUAAUAGCUCACUGGUCGAGUCGGCCUGCGCGGAAGAUGUAACGGGGCUAAACCAUGCACCGAAGCUGCGGCAGCGAACGUAUCACCCAAGACAACUUUACGGAGUUGACGAUUGACGGAGCGAAGCGACGUCAAAGCGUUCAUUAAAGUCGAGUUGGCUUAGGGAUACGUUCGUUGGGUAGGGGAGCGUUCUGUAAGCCUGUGAAGGUGUGUCGUGAGGCAUGCUGGAGGUAUCAGAAGUGCGAAUGCUGACAUAAGUAACGAUAAAGCGGGUGAAAAGCCCGCUCGCCGGAAGACCAAGGGUUCCUGUCCAACGUUAAUCGGGGCAGGGUGAGUCGACCCCUAAGGCGAGGCCGAAAGGCGUAGUCGAUGGGAAACGGGUUAAUAUUCCCGUACUUGGUGUUACUGCGAAGGGGGGACGGAGAAGGCUAUGUUGGCCGGGCGACGGUUGUCCCGGUUUAAGCGUGUAGGUGUGUGUUCCAGGUAAAUCCGGUUCACUUUAACACUGAGGCGUGACGACGAGGCACUACGGUGCUGAAGCAACAAAUGCCCUGCUUCCAGGAAAAGCCUCUAAGCAUCAGGUAACACGAAAUCGUACCCCAAACCGACACAGGUGGUCAGGUAGAGAAUACCAAGGCGCUUGAGAGAACUCGGGUGAAGGAACUAGGCAAAAUGGUGCCGUAACUUCGGGAGAAGGCACGCUGACACGUAGGUGAAGUGAUUUACUCAUGGAGCUGAAGUCAGUCGAAGAUACCAGCUGGCUGCAACUGUUUAUUAAAAACACAGCACUGUGCAAACACGAAAGUGGACGUAUACGGUGUGACGCCUGCCCGGUGCCGGAAGGUUAAUUGAUGGGGUCAGCGCAAGCGAAGCUCCUGAUCGAAGCCCCGGUAAACGGCGGCCGUAACUAUAACGGUCCUAAGGUAGCGAAAUUCCUUGUCGGGUAAGUUCCGACCUGCACGAAUGGCGUAAUGAUGGCCAGGCUGUCUCCACCCGAGACUCAGUGAAAUUGAACUCGCUGUGAAGAUGCAGUGUACCCGCGGCAAGACGGAAAGACCCCGUGAACCUUUACUAUAGCUUGACACUGAACAUUGAGCCUUGAUGUGUAGGAUAGGUGGGAGGCUUUGAAGUGUGGACGCCAGUCUGCAUGGAGCCGACCUUGAAAUACCACCCUUUAAUGUUUGAUGUUCUAACGUGGACCCGUAAUCCGGGUUGCGGACAGUGUCUGGUGGGUAGUUUGACUGGGGCGGUCUCCUCCUAAAGAGUAACGGAGGAGCACGAAGGUUGGCUAAUCCUGGUCGGACAUCAGGAGGUUAGUGCAAUGGCAUAAGCCAGCUUGACUGCGAGCGUGACGGCGCGAGCAGGUGCGAAAGCAGGUCAUAGUGAUCCGGUGGUUCUGAAUGGAAGGGCCAUCGCUCAACGGAUAAAAGGUACUCCGGGGAUAACAGGCUGAUACCGCCCAAGAGUUCAUAUCGACGGCGGUGUUUGGCACCUCGAUGUCGGCUCAUCACAUCCUGGGGCUGAAGUAGGUCCCAAGGGUAUGGCUGUUCGCCAUUUAAAGUGGUACGCGAGCUGGGUUUAGAACGUCGUGAGACAGUUCGGUCCCUAUCUGCCGUGGGCGCUGGAGAACUGAGGGGGGCUGCUCCUAGUACGAGAGGACCGGAGUGGACGCAUCACUGGUGUUCGGGUUGUCAUGCCAAUGGCACUGCCCGGUAGCUAAAUGCGGAAGAGAUAAGUGCUGAAAGCAUCUAAGCACGAAACUUGCCCCGAGAUGAGUUCUCCCUGAGACUUAGAGUCUCCUGAAGGAACGUUGAAGACGACGACGUUGAUAGGCCGGGUGUGUAAGCGCAGCGAUGCGUUGAGCUAACCGGUACUAAUGAACCGUGAGGCUUAACCUUACA
This 2858-nucleotide ribosomal RNA is filed under the name Salmonella enterica subsp. enterica serovar Typhimurium. Its description in RNAcentral is "partial 23S ribosomal RNA". It matches the Rfam family "Bacterial large subunit ribosomal RNA". Lineage: Bacteria; Pseudomonadati; Pseudomonadota; Gammaproteobacteria; Enterobacterales; Enterobacteriaceae. The record is from RNAcentral.